Molecule: long non-coding RNA, 2052 nt
Organism: Oncorhynchus masou masou (cherry salmon)
Lineage: Eukaryota; Metazoa; Chordata; Actinopteri; Salmoniformes; Salmonidae
Exons: 5
Source: RefSeq, a predicted model, not a curated record
UGUCUCGUCAAGCCCUAGCAACUCCUUGUGUGGGCCGGGCGCCUGCAGACUGACCUCUGUCGUCAGUUGGACGGUGUUUCCUCUGAAACAUUGGUGCGGCUGGCUUCCGGUUUGAGCGGGCGGGUGUUAAGAAGCACGGUUUGGCGAGGACGAAACCGUCGCCUCCCGAGCCCUUUUGGGGAGUUGCAGCGAUGAGAACGAAAAAGGCCUUAAAAUGAAAAAAUAAAUCAAACGGUGUGUCUGAUAUAUGAAACAACUUCCUCAUAGCUAUUCAAAUAGAGGCUGCCUGACUUUUUGGCUCAAAUCACUUGUGCCACAAAUGAUUUCUUUGAAAACCUGAGCAUUGUUCAAAAGGCAACUCCCACAAAGAAAAGAGGCGACACAAAGAUUGUCAGAUGGACUCGCUGAACUGAAUCUCGUCACACCAGAACACAGUCGGUGUUCUGUCAUCUGAAUCAACAUAAUGCUGUUCCUAUUAUUUUGUGGUGGAUGUUUUGUGUUGUCUGCAGGGCAAACCUUUGCUCCAACACCUUCAAUGGGACAAGUGAACAGCACAACACAGGUAACAACACCUCCAGCUCCCACUACUCCAUAUGUGGACCCACCAUUUGGUACUGGCACAGCUACUAGUGGAUUUGCAAUUCUUCGAACAGCUGUCACUUCUUAUCAGGAGCUAAAUAAGACUACAGUUGAUCCAGUCUUGAGUCAGCUUAUGCCUGCCCUCACCAUAACCCCACUGACUCCCUGGGGCACUCUGUUCACUAUGUUGAUAUCAGCAAACCGCUCGCCCACAGGACGCCAUACACGUGAUCUGCGGUUGUGAUGACAUUGGAGGCAGCUUAUGCUCUAUGACGUCAUUGGUGCGCAGCAACCUAAUCUGGAAUUUCAUCUGACUGUGAAAACUGUCCAGAAGGUUUGAUGGAUUAGGAUUCAAUGCAUAACAGGUUAACAUGUUUUAUGGCACAUCAUGUGCUGCAACUUAUACAGUAUGCCAAUUUGAACUAUUAUACUACUUACUGAAUUUUCUACGAUAUUUUUAAUUCUGUUUCAGUAAAAACAAAUUAAAGAGAUGCUACAGAGGUUUGUAUUCGACUCUGAAUUCCAAGUCGAGAACUCGGGCCUCUUUCUAGAGCUCCGACUUUUUGACCUGAAGGUCACUGACGUCAUGAUUCAACCUCGUUUUUUUCAGCGUUCCCAGUUGUCUUGAAAGCACCAUAAAUCCAGAGAAUGCCAGACCUUGAUGACAAAGUUUGAUGACAAAGUUUGCCCACAAGGACUGCCAUGCCACCUGAUGUUGUGUAGUAGGCUGUUAGUAGCCCAUGUGUGUCACCCUAAAUCACACCCUUUCCCUCUCAGAAUUUAGCCUUGUGUUCUGACUUGGUGGACUGAUUAGCCUGUUUUAGAGAAAUGUCAUCAUUGAAUAUUAUAAGAGCUUUCAUUGUCUCCUUAUAUGCCCCUGUUAUUUAUCCUACAGUUCUGACUUGGUGUACAGGGAAAAUACUGUAAGAAUGGCUGAUGUUCUGAAUGCUGUCGCUGACCAUUUCAAAAGUGUUGAACAAAUAGGCAUGUCAACCACAUCCGUCUUGGCUUGCUCAUCAUUGAAUGUCUUAAUCGAAAUUACGGCUUGCCUCUUAUCCGCUCAUCGUUCCCUUAUGCCGUAGUUUGUACAUCACAAUUUUUAUAUAGGUCUAUCUCAUUAGUACCUAAUCAUUUUAAGCAAUGUUGGAAUUAUGCAUUUCAUUGUUUUGCUUACUUUGUGUAUUAUAUAAUUAGCUCGUGUGCUUUUCUACCGCUAGGAGGGGAUACUAUAUAAUGUUGUUGGGUCUGUAACCAUGUUUGCCAGUGAUAGUCUCUUCCUAUUCAAAUAUUUUUUUUCAACAAAAAGUUAAGUAAUGGACAAAUGUGAUUUCAGAUAAUAUUUGGAGGGUUGUUUUGUUUGCGCAAUGCGCUGUCUGUGCGUCUGUAUAUUGUCUAUAAAAGUGGAUCCUCGUGAUUGUGUUUUCCUUCCUUUUCAGACCACAAUAGGCCUAAUAAAAUACUUCAAGAAGCUAA